Molecule: ribosomal RNA, 432 nt
Filed under: uncultured bacterium
Lineage: Bacteria
Description: bacterial SSU rRNA
Rfam family: Bacterial small subunit ribosomal RNA
Source: RNAcentral
CGAAAGGGUGACCGAGCGACGCCGCGUGCGGGAUGAAGGGCUUCGGCUUGUAAACCGCUUUUCCUUGGGAAGAAGGCUUCUCUCGUGAAGAGAAGUUUGACGGUACCAGGGGAAUAAGCCCCGGCUAACUCCGUGCCAGCAGCCGCGGUAAGACGGAGGGGGCAAGCGUUGUUCGGAAUUAUUGGGCGUAAAGAGCACGUAGGCGGUUCUGCAAGUCGGCUGUGAAAGCCUUCCGCUCAACGGAAGAACAGCAGUUGAUACUACAGGACUAGAGUGCGGGAGGGGAGAGUGGAACUUCUGGUGGAGCGGUGAAAUGCGUAGAUAUCAGAAGGAACGCCGGCGGCGAAAGCGACUCUCUGGCCCGUAACUGACGCUGAGUGUGCGAAAGCUAGGGGAGCAAACGGGAUUAGAUACCCCGGUAGUCCUAGCCGU